Molecule: long non-coding RNA, 5141 nt
Filed under: Nicotiana tabacum (common tobacco)
Lineage: Eukaryota; Viridiplantae; Streptophyta; Magnoliopsida; Solanales; Solanaceae
Description: long non-coding RNA (NTAB_LNC013866)
Source: RNAcentral
CGCCUAAAAUCCAUGAGAUCCGCCGUUCUCUGACUUGAGAAGCUUCAGUCGUCUUCUUCAGCAAACUAACCUAGAAAAGCCUCGACCACCCUAACGCAGUAGACCUUCACCCAAAUGAACACCAAAAACUUAACUCUAUGACCCUACCAAGAUCAGAAGACAGUCGUUCCUGCUGCUUCAUCUUCAACACUCAGCACUGUUGGUUUCUUAGAAGAAAACUCUGCAGAAACCUAGCGAGAAAACCAGCCCAGUCGUGACCCUUCUCUUUCAGCUCGACCAAACGUUGUUGCUCCUCCACCUCAACCAAACCAACAGUCUAAACCUACACAAAAUCCGGCAAACCAGUGUUUUUACAGUGAGCGUUUGAAUCAGUCGAGGAUGGUUCCGGUUCGAGUUCUUAUUUUCGAUUGAAGUUUCCAGUUCUAAGUAUUUUCAGAUUCCAGAGCUGUUGCUCUCAAAGGUAUGUGAGGUUCUCUUUGUAACCUUUUUUGGACGUAUAAAUGACGAAUCGAAGGAUUGGAUUCGACUGGUUGUAUACACAUUUAAGUUCAUGUAUUCAUGGUGUUCAAUUGUUAUAUUUGCCUAUCUUUGAUUGAUCUAUCAUAACCUGGCUUUACUUGUUCAUUUAAAACAAAGGAUAUGAGUUCGAAUUUGUGAUUGCUUUGAUGCCAUUACUUGUAGUGAAUUCAUGGCUUCUUAGUUUCGUUGUGAAUGUCUUUUGCGACUUCAGCUCUCUUCUUUUUUCCCUCAAUCUGUUAGAACAUACGCAACGGAAGCAAGCAUACAAACCAGGCAUCGAAUACAUAUGAACUAGACAAUGCAAUAAUAACGAGAUUAGAAGCACUAACCUGUUGAAGUAGUUGCACAAACCUUCCAAGCAGCAAGAAUCCAGGGCUGCAGUCUUCUACUAUUUGCCUAGUAAAACCUUGGACGAUUUUGCUAUUGGGUGGGCAAGAACAAUACAACUGAAAGGUAAGUUAUUAAGUGAAACUAGUCUUCCUUUAAUAGACCCGAAAUUAAGCCACAAUAGGGGCUCAAAAACGUGUAGGAUUUUGCAAGUAGAAUCCUACUCUAACUCAAAAGUAUAACUUUUCUCCCAAGCUACUUUUUACCCAAGUCUGCCCAGGUUUUUACUUGGUAUAGCAGGGACCACAGAAAUAAUUAGAGGCUACUAAUUAUAGUAUUAAUUCGAAAUUAGCAUGAAUUAAUUCNNNNNNNNNNNNNNNNNNNNNNNNNAAAUUUAAUUCAAUUAACUAAUUAAAUCCUUUAUAAUUCCGCUUAAACUAUUUCAUGUGACGGAUACAAAAUCAAUCGGCCGGGGUUUCACAUAAAAACUUAUAAGCUUACAUAAAGGGGUAUCAUCAAACCCAAAACCGAGUCAUGGAUUCUAUCAACUAAUUAUUAUUCACAAAUGUUAUUCGUUAUUGUCCAAUCUAUUAGGCAUAUACUAACUCUAAAUAGAGUCGUACCUUUUGAUAAAUAAAAACAAUAAACAAAUUACAUUGAUCAUAAUAAUUAUAUCAAGAUUAGGAGUAUAAGCUCAUUUAAUGAAUUAGAGAAAAUAUUUUAUAUAUUCAGUACAAAAACAUCUUUUCUCUACUUGAUCCGUUCAAUAUACACUGAGUAUACUAGCACAAGAUGUUGGAGUAAAACUACUCCCAUAAUCAAGACAAAUUAUACGAUAAUCUUGUGCUACAAUCAUCAAGAUAUUUUGUCCAACAAUAUCUUUGAUUAUGAACAUAAUUUAUUAAUUAUGAAAACCAACAAUUUAAUCUUUUGUGCAUGAGCUAAGACUCCAUACACUAAAUUGUCUACUACAUAACUAAAAGGGCACACAUGUAACAAAUGAUCUAUUUAAAAUAGUACUUUAUUGAAUUGAAUAAAUUAAAUAAAUAAUUAUUCCAUAAAGAAUAAAAUAUAAUAUUAUGUCUAAAUAGCAUGGUUAAUAGUAUAUCCCAACACAAUCUCCGUACAAUUCUGUGUGGUUUUUGUUUGAAUAUUAAAAUGAAAUAAAAAUGGAGAGCUCGUGAAUUAGGAGCGUUCAUGUGACGACCCGGCCAGUCGUCUCAUGAGUUACCUCUCCGUUUCUCCCAUUUCAUCUUCUUUAUGCUUUGUUAUCCGUGUUUUGUGGUAUCGGGUGGCCGGAUCGAGUCCGAAAUGAGUUUGGUGAAGUUUGAGACACUUAAUCUCUUUUAAGAAGGCUUAAGUUGGAAAAGUCAACCGGAUAUUGACUUAUGUGUUAGAAGGCUCAGAAGUGAGUUUCGAUGGUUCGGUUAGCUUCGGGAGGUGAUUUGUGACUUAGGAGCGCGAUCGGAAUGGGUUUUGGAGUUGUAGAGAAGAUUUAGGCUUAAAUUGGCGAAGUUGAUAUUUUGGCGAUUACCGGUUGAUAGGCGAGAUUUUAAUAUAGGGGUCGGAAUGGAAUUCCAAGAGUUGCAGUAGCUUCGUUGUGUCAUUUGGGAUGUGUGUGCAAAAUUUAAGGUCAUUCAGACGAGAUUUGAUAGACUUUUUGAUCGAAAGCAUAAUUUAAGAGUUUUUGGAGUUCUUAGGCUUGAAUCAUAUGUUAAAUUGCUGAUUUGAUGUUGUUGUGAGCAUUCCGAAGUUUUGAACAAGUUUGAACGAUGUCAUGGGAUGUAUUGGUACAAUUGGUUUGAAGUUCCGGGAGUUCCGGGUAGGUUCCAGGUAGGUUCCGAGAUGUUUUAGGCCGAAAAUCAUAACUGUAGCAGGUCCAGAAGGGUUGCAGGCCUAGGAAACCACCCGCGCGGUCAGCACAAAAAGAAGUGCGGCCGCGGUAUGUGCCGUGCAGAACGCACAAAAAGAAGUGCGUCCGCAGUAGGUGCUGUGCGGACCGCACAAAAUGCAGUGCGGCCGCGGUGGAGAGCAUUUCACUGGUCCUACUUUGGAAGCUCAUACCUUUUGAUUUACAAGGAAUUUUGAGAUGAUUCAAAAACAAAAGUUGUAGCCCUUCGUGUCUAGUUUCCCGAAAGGUAAAGAUAUCGCAAUUUGGACAUCUGUAGCAAAAGUUAUGGCCAAAAAACUAAAGUUUGUCACUGUAGAGGAAAGCUUGUGCAGUCGCGGUCGCUUUUGUGCAGACCGCACUGGUUUUGUGCGGACCGCAGUCGAUUUUGUGUGGUCCGCGGAGGUGAAAAUCUGUGGGGUACUAUAUAAAUACAAGAUUUUAAGUUUUAUUUGAUAUUUUGACCUAGAGAGCUCGGAUUUUGGCGAUGUUUCGAAGGUUUUUCAAGAAAUUUAUCGGGGUAAGUGAUUCUAACUCAUAUUUGGCUAGAAUACAUGAAUAUAUCAUUGAAUUCAUCAUUUAAUUCGUGAUUUGUAAUGGAAUUUGGGAAGAAAAUUGUGAAACCUUUCAAAAAUGUUAAAUGAUGAUUUGAAAAACCAAAUGGUAUUGGAAUUGGAUAAUUUUCAUAUGGUUAGACUCGUGAGAGUAUAAGGAUUCUAGUUUUGUGAAUUUUGUCAAAUUCCGAGAUGUGGGCCCAGGGGUUGGGUUUGACCAAUUUUGGGAAUUUUAUGGUAAUUUAAUUAUUUUCGAGUGGGCUUUGUUCCCUUCACACAUUUUGAUGGUUUUGUACUGAUUUUGGCUAGAUUUGGAGCAUUCGGAGGCCGAUUCGAGCGGCAAAGGCAUCGCGGGCUAGAGUUCGGACUGGAUAGAGGUGAGUAAUGAUUAUAAAUAAUGCUCUGAGGGUUUGAAACCCCAAAUUUGCACAUCGUAGUGCUAUAUUGAGGUGAGACACGCGCUUGAUGAUGAGCGUGGGUUCGUAUAUUAUUGGGGAUUGUGACUUAGUCCAUCCCGAUUGAUAAUUUUACCGCGUAUUUGACUGAAACUUAAUUGCUAUCAUCAUUAUUUGGGCUGAUUGUCAUAUUUGGGUUUUGUACCAACUAUUUGAACCCUUCGGGGAUGUUUAUUACUAUUUCAUCAUUGUUUUGGCUUAUUACUUGAACUCAGUCCCGUUAUUUUCCAAUGUUUUACUACUCGACCAUUUUUACUCAGUUUUGAGACUUAAAUGAUAUUUUAAAUGAUGUUUUGGGCUGAGAAAUACUAUUUUACUAUUGCCCAAGGGGCUUGUGAUGAUUUUUGGACUGAGUAAGGUCGAGGGCCUAGUUGUGAGGAUACACUGAUACUGAUAUGAGGCUGAGGGCCUGAGAUGCAUAUAUAUGCCACAAGGUGGCUUGAUUGAUAUGAGGCCGAGGGCCUAGAUUUGAUGCCAUGAGAUGACUUGAUAUUGCGCUUGGGCCGUAAGGGGCCAUCCCGGAGUCUACACACCCCAGUGAGUGCGGAUACCCAUUGUGAUGUGAGAUUGAGCCCGAGGGGUAGAAAUUGUUGAUACUGUGCCCGAGGGGCGAACUUCUAUGUGUUUACUUUAUCAUAACUGUCUGUCAAUUACCUGUUUACUUGUUGUAGAAGUACUUUAUUUUGCUUUUCAUUGGUUUACUGCUUACAAUUACCUAUUUAAUUGCUUCAUUAUAGAAUACCAUGUGUAUACGUGUUUUCUUACUUUCAGUUAUUAUUUAUCUUUAUUACUCACUGGGUCGGAGUACUCACAUUACUCCAUGCACCUUACGUGCAGAUCCAGGUGCCCAGAGGCCGAGUGGGAGCUUUUCAGUCAUUCAGCAAUUGCCAAGGAUUUCGAGGUAGCUGCAUGGCGUCCGCAGCUCUGAUUUCUCCCUUCUAUCUUAUUACUUUUCCGAAUUCCUAGACUAUCUAUGUAGUAGGUUGUCCAGACUUGUAUUAGAGGCUCUAGACUUGUGACACCAGAUCAGUUUGGGCUAUGUAGUUUCUAGGUAUUGUUGACUUCCGCAUGUCUAUCUCGCUGUGUUAAACACUUAUUAUGAUAAUUGGUAAUUAAACCAUGUUAGCAAAUAAUUUAUUUAAAAUGAAAAUGAGUUGUGGUUUAUAAUUGGUCCGACUUGCCUAAUAAUGUGAUAGGCGCCAUCACAACCGGUAUUUGGGGUCGUGACAGUUCUAGAGCUCCAAACUGGAAAUGGAAUUGGAAAGCAGCCGAUCCUAAGACAUAUAUGUAUAAUGUACUCAUCCUUUACCUUUGUAAGAAAUUACUUGUCCACUAGCAUUUGGAUUCGAUGCUUGGGAGUUGGGAUAUUAUCAUUAUUAUGAAACAUUACAAUUUCCA